GUGGGGAAUAUUGCACAAUGGGGGAAACCCUGAUGCAGCAACGCCGCGUGAGUGAUGACGGCCUUCGGGUUGUAAAGCUCUGUCUUCAGGGACGAUAAUGACGGUACCUGAGGAGGAAGCCACGGCUAACUACGUGCCAGCAGCCGCGGUAAUACGUAGGUGGCAAGCGUUGUCCGGAUUUACUGGGCGUAAAGGGAGCGUAGGCGGACUUUUAAGUGGGAUGUGAAAUACCCGGGCUUAACCUGGGUGCUGCAUUCCAAACUGGGAGUCUAGAGUGCAGGAGGGGAAAGUGGAAUUCCUAGUGUAGCGGUGAAAUGCGUAGAGAUUAGGAAGAACACCGGUGGCGAAGGCGACUUUCUGGACUGUAACUGACGCUGAGGCUCGAAAGCGUGGGGAGCGAACAGGAUUAGAAACCCGGGUAGUCC
Molecule: ribosomal RNA, 425 nt
Filed under: uncultured bacterium
Lineage: Bacteria
Description: partial 16S ribosomal RNA
Rfam family: Bacterial small subunit ribosomal RNA
Source: RNAcentral